This is a long non-coding RNA of Fukomys damarensis (Damara mole-rat), 319 nucleotides long. RefSeq lists it as uncharacterized. The record is from RefSeq and is a predicted model, not a curated record. NCBI's taxonomy places the organism in Eukaryota, Metazoa, Chordata, Mammalia, Rodentia, Bathyergidae. The transcript is spliced from 3 exons.
CCUGGACAUGUGGCUGCCCUCUAGAAUCUGAUUCAUUUCCAAUCUGUACUAGGAUACCAGAGAUGAUUGACUCCUUAUGUCCUGGUCCUAGGAAAAAAAUACCUUGUGUGGAGGAAAAUGAGAUCCCGAGUGAAGCCUACAAUGUCAUUGACUCUGAAGAAGGACUCAGAGACCCAUUGGUGUUUAAUGACCCUUACUGGCCUCUGCAAUGGGAACUGGUACCACAGUCACUGUAACAACAUAUGCAUAUGGAUGUAUAUUGAUGAGUAUGAUUUUCUUGCCCGUCACUACAAAAAUACCUUUCCUAGUUGAACUGUUA